This is a long non-coding RNA of Macaca mulatta (Rhesus monkey), 3375 nucleotides long. RefSeq lists it as uncharacterized. The record is from RefSeq and is a predicted model, not a curated record. Lineage: Eukaryota; Metazoa; Chordata; Mammalia; Primates; Cercopithecidae.
CUAUUCUUAUCUUUCCUUUCUUUGAUAAAGGAAUGGUUGAGAGUGAAUUGUCAAGACAAAGCCAUAGAGUAUGGUUCAAUCAAUGCUAACCACCCUCAAAUAAAACACUAUCUACUAAUCUCCUAGAUUAAACGAAUGAACAAACAAACAAACAAACAAAAAAACCCAACCUUGGAAAAGGAAGGUAUGUAGCAAAGAUAUAAAUAGGCAUCUACCUAAGAUUAUAAUGUUCUGAGUUCUUAAAGGCAUUCUUGUGAAGAAAACAUGAGCUUGGAUGACAUGAUGAUGAAGUAGACAAGAUUUAUAUCUACCGUAUUCCCAUAUCCCCUCAAUUUUGAGUCCAGAUCUGAGACUCCCACAGGUAUAAAAAUGUGCAGGGGAGUGAUCUAGCUUCCCAAAAUUCAAAAAACACAAUAGCCAAUCUAGGAUGACAUCUUUCCUAACUUUCCCUAAAAGUCUAGACAUGGUCUCAUAGGAGUGACACCAGUUGUUGUAGGCCCGAGGGCAAAACCACAUUUGGAUUUUAUUGCUAAGAUGCUUCAGGACAGAAUUUGUUCUGGUCAGGCUGAAAUAAGAAAAGGAAUUAAUACUAAGGAGUUGGAAGAGUGUAACUGAGCUUGCGUCUAAGGAAAACAAAUACAUUCCGGAGAGACUAAAAGAUGCUAAUUUUCUUGAUGAAAUGAGGCGUGGGACCUAAUCCCCUUUUCAGCCAGGUUUAUCACAUAGAGGUAGGUGUGUGUGUGUUGGGGGGGUGGUGUAUGUAUUGUCUUUUCUAGAAACCUCUUUCUUUUAUUUUUUGAGGUUAAUUAAAACCACAUUUGAUAAUAUGAAAAUAGCUCUAACUAUGAUGGUUUUCAUCAAUGUAGGGCCUUUCAAGUAUUCUCCUGGCACUCUGAGACUAAAGGUGUCAUGAUCGCCCUAAGCCAUUUGGAAAUUGUCGUGGCAAAUUGUGCGGGAAAAAUGGAGACAAGCUAACUAUAUAUGAGAAGAAUGAGUAAUAAACCAUGGCUUAGUCAUUCAAUGGAAUACUACAUCUAGUUCAACUGAAUGAAAAUAAUCUCCAUGGAUCAACAUGGAUUUUCAUAUGGUCAAAAUACCCACGGAAUAUAUGAGUGGCAGCAGUAAACAGUCCUUGAAGUUCUUGGUUGUUUAACUUGACUGUUGGUGAUGCCCAGUGAGGCCCUGUCUGCUCCAAGCAAAUUACAUAAAAAAGAUGUGAAUAAAAACUCAUCAAAUACUAACAGAGAAGCCCCUGCUGGUGUUGGCCCUGUCUUGGUUGUGUCUGGCAAAUGAAUCUGCAUCCUUCUCCACGUGGAUUUAACUAUCAUACCAGUUACAGACUAUCAGUUGAGAAGACACUGGAUAGAACCAGCCUGUUUAUUCCUGAAUGUAUAUUUUUGGCUGCGGGAAUUAGUCAUAACAGAGGAAGGUACAGAACACCUCCCAAUAUGAUAGAUCUAUUUGCUCAUCAGCCCAAAUCCUGGACCUUGAAGUGGUAAUGAAUGAGUCUGCCUCUGCCCUGAAUUUAAAAAUCUCAGCUCUCUCUUUUCCAAUUAAAUUAAGAUUUAGAAAGAUAAUGCUUCCUCUCUUGGGAGCAUUUGGGCAUUUUCCAAGGAAACAGAGAGAGGGUUGUCAAAGGGGAUUUGCUGACAAUGACAUGAGAAGAAGGCGAUGACAAAGAAAGACUGAAGGUCUCAGACUUCGGGAUGGGGUCGAAGCUGUCUCACCUGGUUAGGAACUGUCACCAUGCAAGUGAAGGGUGGAAUUUGGCUUUUAGAAUACAUUUCCAUUAGCCCUGGAGUUUGACAGCUAGCUCCUGAUGGCAGCAAAGCAUGUGAGGCCUCCCAGUCGGCAAGGCUGAUCUCUGACUAAUGGGGAAAAAUUACCCAAUAAGAAUUAGCAAUCUUACAUCACUGAUCAGAAUCCUUACAUUGCCCUUCAUGUGGGGAAAAGAAUGAGACUUUCAAAAGGAGUUGGACUGGUUUUAACAUGGCCUGUUGGUCACUGAGACAGGAAACAUUUAACAUGAAUUAGAUGCAUUUGGAAUUUGUUUGACUUAUCUUGAGCCUAAGGUUUCCAGGUAUUAGUGGUAUUGAGCACUCAUUUAGUACUUUUACGUAUUUUUUAGAAAGUGCCCUCUCAUUAUUUCUAGGUAGAUACAAUUGGCCGUUUGAUCUUGUUCUUUAUUUGUACCAGAUUUUUUCAACUUAACACUUUUGGAGAAGUGGAAGCUCUUGAGUGUUAAACUAAGAAAACCAGUGUUGGAUGAGUGUCCCAAAAGAGAACAGUGUUGUUAUCAUAGGCUGAAUUGAUCCCAGAUGGAUUCUGGAAUGAAAGGAUUAACAAUGAUGUAAAAAUGGCCUGAGCACGUGAUAGUAUACAAUACUGAGUCUUUGAAAGUAAGCUUGGCCACAGCCACGUGUGUCUUCAGAGUUGGAGGUUAGAUACCAUUUACUUUGGACUUUGGAUAGCAUAUAGUGGUCAGAAUGAUUUAAAAAUGUUAAGUUAGGCUGGUGUUGAAAGAUGGCAUAAUUUGAGAACAGAUACAGCAAAACAAGGCAAUGAACUUGCCUUCCUCAUAAAUGAUGUCAGCAGUGAGAAGCUGAGGGCCAUGGGCCAGGACAGAGGAGACUUAGCUUCUUUUUCUUGUCUUCUUAGAUUGUGUUGAGAAAUCCUGCUCUUGAGCAUGUGCUACUGUGUCUUUUGGAAGACAAUAAUAGCUGGGCAGAGGAAAAUGUUGUUGUGGCUUUUUGACCCCUCUCUGACCAGGACAACAAAUAUAAUGACGAUAAUAAAAAUACCCAGAGCACAUCCUUAUUUAUCUCUUCAUGGGAAGUCAUAAGACUGAAAGGGGCUUUUAUUUAGUGGGUUCUACCAGUGGGAAGAUAUUCAGACAACACUGAACCCACACGUUUGACUCUGGACCAGAGGCUGCAUGUCUGACCCCAGGUAGGUAUCCUGAGCAGACUGCAUGGUUAGAUGGAAUGAUCUCUUCUCUAUUGUCUUUUAAGGGGUAUGUGAUCUGUAUACUUACAAUGAACUUUUCAAGACACAGGCUACAAAAUGCACUGGCUAAGAAAUGACUAGGAACCAAGGGCAGAAUGGGGAUAAAGUGAAUUCCAGCAAAAUGCUGUCCCUUCAAUAAGUCUUACUGGAAGGCCCAAGUGGCCAACUGGAACACCUCCAUGGGAUACAGCAAGUAUGGGGCUUUGGGAAAACACACACACACGCGCACACACACACACACACACACGGCCUACUUUAGCACAGACCCAGCCAUUUGUGAAUCAAGAUUUCUUGGGGGAGAUUUCUGAGUCUGAGACUAGUGGUUCAUUAUGCUAACCAGGUUGCACACUAGAAUAAUCUGGGAAUAUU